GAACCUGCGGAAGGAUCAUUACCUUUCAGUACAGAAGCGUUGUGUUGGUUGAGUUGUGCCGGUUGAGUCUCGCUGACAAGUGGGAUUCCUGGUGGCAACUCCCUUCAUAAUUCUCCCUGUCUAUCAUCCUUGUCUUUUGCGUACUAUUGUUUCCUCGGUGGGCUUGCCCACCGGUUGGACAACCUUAUAACCUAUUUAAUUUUCAAUCAGCGUCUGAAAUAAUAUAAUAAUUACAACUUUCAACAACGGAUCUCUUGGUUCUGGCAUCGAUGAAGAACGCAGCGAAAUGCGAUAAGUAGUGUGAAUUGCAGAAUUCAGUGAAUCAUCGAAUCUUUGAACGCACAUUGCGCCCCUUGGUAUUCCAUGGGGCAUGCCUGUUCGAGCGUCAUUUGUACCCUCAAGCUUUGCUUGGUGUUGGGUGUUUGUCUUUUCCACGCGAUCAGACUCGCCUUAAAAUAAUUGGCAGCCAGUGUUUUGGUUUUGAAGCGCAGCACAAGUCGCGAUUCAGCUUAUAUCACUAGUUUCCAUUAAGCAUUUUAUCACUUUUGACCUCGGAUCAGGUAGGGAUACCCGC
Molecule: ribosomal RNA, 574 nt
Filed under: fungal sp. AB56
Lineage: Eukaryota; Fungi
Also listed under: 1 other name
Description: eukaryotic LSU rRNA
Rfam family: 5.8S ribosomal RNA (bases 235-388)
Source: RNAcentral